RNAcentral lists this long non-coding RNA (440 nucleotides) under Marmota monax (woodchuck). The record is from RNAcentral. Lineage: Eukaryota; Metazoa; Chordata; Mammalia; Rodentia; Sciuridae.
CCCAGGCAUGCUGGGCAAUGUGGUGAUGGGCUUCCACCCGCCCAGCAGCUGCACGAAACUCGCCAAGACUGUGCGCUACCUGCAGCCCUGCUGCCUGCUUCUGGGCACCAACAUGGACAAAAGGCCACUUCAUCGCGGGUACAGGCUCUCUGGUUCCAGCGGUGGAGAUGAUGACCCAAUGUCUGGCGAUCAUCAUCUGGAAGCCCAGCCGCUUAGUCCUCUCCUGCGUGUGGCAGGAACACUGCAUCAACGCGGAAUGCGCACUGUCAUGGUGGGGGACUGUCUGGACACACACAUCCUCCUGGGCACCACCUGUGCCUUGAAGACCAUCCAGACCCUCACUGGAGUCUCCAAGCUAGAAGAUGUGAAGAGAAAUCAGGGAAGUGACUGCAAGUCUAAGAAGAAUGUGGUCCCUGACUUCUAUGUUGAAACUUAUGUUU